AUCCAAACCAUCAAGAAAAGUAUAUACCUGAUCCUCCUGCAACAUAUUGUUAUAGUGUUUAAUAUCUUCUGGACAUUUCAUUGGGUUGGGACGACGAAAAUCAAUCUCACGCCAUAAGCCUUGGAGAUCAUUGUAAUACUUUUCCAAUCUCCCGCUACCUUGCCUAAGCCGUGCCACUCACCGUCGGAGUUCGUAAACCUGGGAUGCAUCACUUCCAUCAAAGUAAGUGGUUGCAAUUGCAUCCCAAACCUGCUUUGUUGUUAGAAAUCAGAUGAAGUUGCCAAUAAGGGAUGAGUCCAUUGAACCAAUCAGCCAUCCCUUUACAUUUGAAUUUUCAGUCUGCCACUUACGAAAUGAAGGUUGAUUGUUGGUGGCUGAGGAAGGUCUCCAUUGAGGUAUCCAAGUUUAUCUUUGCCUGCUACGUACAUCUCUACGACCUGUGACCAGAGGGCAUAAUUCGUGCCGUCUAGCUUGAUACCGAUCCCUGUAGCCAUUAAGUCAGCGGCUGAAGUAGGUGCUGAAGCUUUGCUCAAAACUUCUGUUAUCUUUGCUGUCAAUUUAGAUAUCAUAGAAGAAGAGUUUAUAUGAUGAGAUUCCAAGGGGUCAGAUUCACCAGAGUUCUCAUCAAAGUGAGGAUCCAUGUGUGCCAUGGAAGGGGUUGGGUUCUAUUUUUUACGGAUUUGGGUAGGGGAUCAGAUCCUCUGAUACCAAGAAGGAUUUAAGGUUCCAAUAAAUUUUCUUUUAUUGUGGUGCAUAAUAUCCUUCCCUAAUAUCCCAGAUUUUCUCCCUUAAUUGCUCAACUCACGUCAACAAAAGCC
Molecule: long non-coding RNA, 818 nt
Filed under: Olea europaea subsp. europaea
Lineage: Eukaryota; Viridiplantae; Streptophyta; Magnoliopsida; Lamiales; Oleaceae
Source: RNAcentral